This is a long non-coding RNA of Calidris pugnax (ruff), 1268 nucleotides long. RefSeq lists it as uncharacterized. The record is from RefSeq and is a predicted model, not a curated record. NCBI's taxonomy places the organism in Eukaryota, Metazoa, Chordata, Aves, Charadriiformes, Scolopacidae. The transcript is spliced from 3 exons.
AGCGCUGCACGACAAGCAUCUGUCACACAGCCCGGAGAGGCGACGGAUGGACGGAGCUCAGCUCUUCGCGCCGAGGGCGCCCAGCAUCCCGGCCGCCGAGCCGCACCGAGGAGGGCGCGGGCAGACGGAAGGAGGAGAGGAGCGAUCCCCGCCGAGAUAACUGCCGAAUCUGGAAGAAUCUCUAAGUGCUGGUCCCACUAGAACAACGCACAUACAGAUAACUGAUGGGAGAAUGAAAAUGUUUAUGCACUUAGCAAAUUUACGUUCUAAAACCAAAGUGCAUCUUAGCAGUAAGUGCAGAUGCUUAUCUACAAUGAGUUCUAAACAGAGGAAUAAAUGCAGAAGGCUAAAGUAUUAAAAGCCUUGCUGAAGAUGCAAGCCACCUCCAAAAAAAGGAAAUACGUCAGUUUAUCUAUAUUCCACAUAUAUUAGAAGAUUCAGAUACUGCAAAAAUAGACAAGUCCUAACUACACUGCAUGAUGUGGUGUUAAUACUUGCUUUGUAGUAUAUUCCUCAGCAGUUCUAAAUACUGAGAUCAUAAUCCUCACGUGUUCUCCACAGUGCCUUUUUUUGGCACUCCCUUCCCCCCAUUUUCCCUUCUCUGAAAUACUUCUCUUAAAAAACGAGCCCUUAAAUAAAGGCAGUGGGAAGGCAGAAAAAAAAAGGAAGUGGAGGGAUAUAGCAAUCUCAUGUAAUAAACAAUUUAAUAUAAUGUCCUGUAUUGAAAAUCCUUCCAACCUUUAACAAUUGUAUGCAACUUUUCCCUUACUUCUCUGCAAGUAUUAUGUUUCACAUACGCUUACACAUAGAAAAUGAAAACAGGAGAAGUAGAGGGAUAACAAAAGUCAUCUCAGCUUCACAAAGCACUGAGAUUGUCAGAUGAAAGGCAAAAUCUGAACAUUCACGAUUUAUUAUUUGGAAACAACCCAAUGGUGGAAGGAUUCAUCAAGUAGAGUUUGCAUGCUGUGAGAACACAGGCUGACUUGUUUCAAGUGAGCUGUACAUCUGAGGAAGAGCAAGAGACUGCAUAUUAGACCUAUUCUGUAGGGACUUAACAUAGGUACAUAUAUUCUUUGAAUUUUAUGAAAGUCCCAUGUGUACAAAUCUAAGUGUUUCAUUGGUACAAGAAUGUCUACUUAUUGACCAAUUCCAACCCACUUGCAGAGAUUGAGGUCAAGUAAUAUUACUCACUGGAUUAAAUGCACAGUUUCACAUAAUGGACAUGAGCUAGUGACUUGUAUAAAUUAAAAUAUUGCAAAAAUUCUAAA